RNAcentral lists this ribosomal RNA (505 nucleotides) under uncultured bacterium. Its description in RNAcentral is "bacterial SSU rRNA". It matches the Rfam family "Bacterial small subunit ribosomal RNA", at positions 791 to 1301 of the family's 1533-position model. The record is from RNAcentral.
UAGUCCACGCCGUAAACGAUGAUUACUCGCUGUAGGCGAUACACAGUCUGUGGCUAAGCGAAAGUUUUAAGUAAUCCACCUGGGGAGUACGAUCGCAAGAUUGAAACUCAAAGGAAUUGACGGGGGCCCGCACAAGCGGAGGAACAUGUGGUUUAAUUCGAUGAUACGCGAGGAACCUUACCUGGACUUAAAUGUACGUUGCAUGGAUUAGAGAUAGUCCUUUCUUCGGACUACGUACAAGGUGCUGCAUGGUUGUCGUCAGCUCGUGCCGUGAGGUGUCGGGUUAAGUCCCAUAACGAGCGCAACCCCUAUCCUUAGUUGCCAGCGGGUGAUGCCGGGGACUCUGAGGAGACUGCCACCGUAAGGUGUGAGGAAGGUGGGGAUGACGUCAAAUCAUCAUGGCCUUUAUGCCCAGGGCUACACACGUGCUACAAUGGCAGGUACAGAGGGUCGCUAAGCCGCGAGGCCACGCCAAUCUCAGAAAACCUGUCCCAGUUCGGAUUGG